ACUAUAUAAUUUUCCCUCAUAAGAAAAGAGUGGAACAUCAAAAUAAUUGUUUCCUAUAGCUCCAUGAAGAAUGAUAAUGACCUCUUCUUCUUGGGUAACUAACAAAUAUAAACAUGGUUGUAUGCUUAACUCUACCUUACUUCAAGAAAGUAAACCAUAUUUGCAGAUGCAAGUUCCAAGUUUUUUCAAUAAAUUUAAAACCAUACCUUUCUGCGACGUGGAGGCAGAAUGGUUCAGUAUUAUUAUGCAGUAGAUUGACAAUAUCCAGAGUCUUUGGAGAAGAAUCUUGACGGAUUCCUUGCUGACAAACACAAUAUG
RNAcentral lists this long non-coding RNA (318 nucleotides) under Trifolium pratense (red clover). RNAcentral's name for it is "long non-coding RNA (TPRA_LNC010904)". The record is from RNAcentral. Lineage: Eukaryota; Viridiplantae; Streptophyta; Magnoliopsida; Fabales; Fabaceae.